RNAcentral lists this ribosomal RNA (464 nucleotides) under Vreelandella stevensii. Its description in RNAcentral is "partial 16S ribosomal RNA". It matches the Rfam family "Bacterial small subunit ribosomal RNA", at positions 338 to 794 of the family's 1533-position model. Lineage: Bacteria; Pseudomonadati; Pseudomonadota; Gammaproteobacteria; Oceanospirillales; Halomonadaceae. The record is from RNAcentral.
CCUACGGGUGGCAGCAGUGGGGAAUAUUGGACAAUGGGCGAAAGCCUGAUCCAGCCAUGCCGCGUGUGUGAAGAAGGCCUUCGGGUUGUAAAGCACUUUCAGUGGGGAAGAAAGCCUUGGGGCUAAUACCCUCGAGGAAGGACAUCACCCACAGAAGAAGCACCGGCUAACUCCGUGCCAGCAGCCGCGGUAAUACGGAGGGUGCGAGCGUUAAUCGGAAUUACUGGGCGUAAAGCGCGCGUAGGCGGUCUGAUAAGCCGGUUGUGAAAGCCCCGGGCUCAACCUGGGAACGGCAUCCGGAACUGUCAGGCUAGAGUGCAGGAGAGGAAGGUAGAAUUCCCGGUGUAGCGGUGAAAUGCGUAGAGAUCGGGAGGAAUACCAGUGGCGAAGGCGGCCUUCUGGACUGACACUGACGCUGAGGUGCGAAAGCGUGGGUAGCAAACAGGAUUAGAUCCCCUAGUAGU